GACCUCUGAAACACGGACCAAGGAGUCUAACAUGUGCGCGAGUUGUGGAGAAGGAAUCUCGCAGGCGAAAUGAAAGUGAAGGCCGGUCCUGAUCGGACUAGGUGUGAUGUGUGACGUGAUUGCGUUGCAUCGCAAUACUACCCCGUCUUGUCUGCUUGACAUUAAGGCGGAGAAAAAGCGUACACGUUAGGACCCGAAAGAUGGUGAACUAUGCCUGAGCAGAAUGAAGUCAGAGGAAACUCUGAUGGAAGUUCGUAGCGGUUCUGACGUGCAAAUCGAUCGUCAGACUUGGGUAUAGGGGCGAAAGACUAAUCGAACCGUCUAGUAGCUGGUUC
RNAcentral lists this ribosomal RNA (335 nucleotides) under Rhabdodemania sp. MKL1. RNAcentral's name for it is "eukaryotic LSU rRNA". It matches the Rfam family "Eukaryotic large subunit ribosomal RNA", at positions 646 to 957 of the family's 3401-position model. Lineage: Eukaryota; Metazoa; Nematoda; Enoplea; Triplonchida; Rhabdodemaniidae. The record is from RNAcentral.